UGCUCUCCCUGGAGCUGUAUUAGGGUCCUUU
RNAcentral lists this non-coding RNA (31 nucleotides) under Mus musculus (house mouse). Lineage: Eukaryota; Metazoa; Chordata; Mammalia; Rodentia; Muridae. The record is from RNAcentral.